ACCCAGACUCCUACGGGAGGCAGCAGUGGGGAAUAUUGCACAAUGGGGGAAACCCUGAUACAGCGACGCCGCGUGGGCGAAGAAGUAUUUCGGUAUGUAAAGCCCUAUCAGCAGGGAAGAAGAAAUGACGGUACCUGAGUAAGAAGCACCGGCUAAAUACGUGCCAGCAGCCGCGGUAAUACGUAUGGUGCAAGCGUUAUCCGGAUUUACUGGGUGUAAAGGGAGCGCAGGCGGCACGGCAAGCCUGAUGUGAAAGCCCGCGGCCCAACCGCGGGACUGCAUUGGGAACUACCGGGCUGGAGUGCCGGAGAGGUAGGCGGAAUUCCUGGUGUAGCGGUGAAAUGCGUAGAUAUCAGGAGGAACACCGGUGGCGAAGGCGGCCUGCUGGACUGCGACUGACGUUGAGGCCCGAAAGCGUGGGGAGCAAACAGGAUUAGAUACCCCAGUAC
Molecule: ribosomal RNA, 449 nt
Filed under: uncultured bacterium
Lineage: Bacteria
Description: partial 16S ribosomal RNA
Rfam family: Bacterial small subunit ribosomal RNA
Source: RNAcentral